RNAcentral lists this transfer RNA (85 nucleotides) under Microbacterium phage Cassita. Its description in RNAcentral is "tRNA-Leu". It matches the Rfam family "tRNA". Rfam says of the family: Transfer RNA (tRNA) molecules are approximately 80 nucleotides in length. The record is from RNAcentral. Lineage: Duplodnaviria; Heunggongvirae; Uroviricota; Caudoviricetes. RNAcentral also lists the same sequence under 1 other name.
GCCCCCUUGGCGAAAUUGGUAGACGCGCUGGACUCAAAAUCCGGUUCUCGUAAGGGAGUGUCAGUUCAAAUCUGACAGGGGGUAC